UACAGAGGUCUCAAGCGUUGUUCGGAUUCAUUGGGCGUAAAGGGUGCGUAGGUGGCGCCGUAAGUCGGGUGUGAAAUUUCGGAGCUUAACUCCGAAACUGCAUUCGAUACUGCGGUGCUUGAGGACUGGAGAGGAGACUGGAAUUCAUGGUGUAGCAGUGAAAUGCGUAGAGAUCAUGAAGAAGACCAGUGGCGAAGGCGGGUCUCUGGACAGUUCCUGACACUGAGGCACGAAGGCCAGGGGAGCAAACGGG
Molecule: ribosomal RNA, 253 nt
Filed under: uncultured bacterium
Lineage: Bacteria
Description: partial 16S ribosomal RNA
Rfam family: Bacterial small subunit ribosomal RNA
Source: RNAcentral